This 279-nucleotide ribosomal RNA is filed under the name uncultured bacterium. RNAcentral describes it as "partial 16S ribosomal RNA". It matches the Rfam family "Bacterial small subunit ribosomal RNA", at positions 506 to 784 of the family's 1533-position model. The record is from RNAcentral.
UGCCAGCCGCCGCGGUAAUACGUAGGGGGCAAGCGUUGUCCGGAUUUACUGGGUGUAAAGGGCGCGUAGGCGGAUUUAUAAGUCAGAGGUGAAAUCCUGCAGCUCAACUGUAGAACUGCCUUUGAAACUAUAAAUCUUGAGUACGGAAGAGAGAGACGGAAUUCCAGGUGUAGUGGUGAAAUACGUAGAUAUCUGGAAGAACACCAGUGGCGAAGGCGGUCUCUUGGUCCGAUACUGACGCUGAGGCGCGAAAGCGUGGGGAGCAAACAGGAUUAGAUA